UUUACAAGGACUUCGAAUCCUCUGUGAAUUCCUUCAUUAAGGACUUGCAACCGUAUACUGACUAAUACAGGGAGGGGAAAAAAAACUUUUAACCAAGAAUCUCGAGAUUCAGGCGGGCAACAGAUCGACAGGAACCUCACCACUGCAUGUCUACAGUGGCGCGUGUCCUUCGUCACCUCACGAACAGAACUUGGAUAUUUAAUUUUAUUUUGUUACUUAUUUCCCUUUGUUUAAUUAUUCUGGUUUUCUGAAGACCGAUUCCGUUUCUGUGUGGACUUCGAUGUAUUUGUAAUCCUCCACCAUGUCCACACUGACCCCUUGGAUGGAAGGAGGAACUACUUCAUUGUGUGGAAUGAACUACCAACAGAGGUACCUCCCACAUCCCUCUGAGAGUGUCUAGUGAAACUCUUCUCUGGAUUGCAGUUCCUUCAGAUAGUCCUGGGUCCCAAGGCUCCUGUACCACUCCUUGAUGACAGCAUUGAGAAGAGGGCAUGUCCUGGGUGGUGGGAGUCCUCGAUGAUGAACGCUGCCUUUUCAAGCAAUUGAAGAUGCUGUGAAGACUAGUGCCCAUGAUGAAGCUGCCUGACUUAACAACCCUCUGCAACUUUUGAACUCAGUCCCAUCAAUGUGCUAGCAUCUUAGAAUCUUAGAGAAGUACAGCACAACCUACCACACGUGACUAUCCUUAGUCAGAGCACGUCUAUCCAAAUACUUAUACUCUGGUCCAGAGGGUACUUAUAUAUGUUUAGAACCUCUUUUAAACAGUGGAACAACAUUGGCUGUCCUCCAAACCUCUGGUAUUCUCCCUGUAACUAAGGAUGUUUUAAAUAUCUCUGCUAGGGCCGCAACCAUUCCUGCACUUGCCUCCCAAGAGAACACCUUGUCCAGUCCCUCCAGAUUUAUUCACCCUCAUUUGCCUCAGGAUAACAAACACCUCCUCCUCUGUAAUUUGUACAGGGUCCAUGACAUUGAUAGUGUUUUGUCUCACUUCUGUAUCCGUCUCCUGAGUAAGUACGGAUGCAAAGAAUUCAUUUGUGAUCUCCCCGUCUCCUCUGGCUCUACACUUGGAUUACCAAUCUGGUCUUCCAGAGGACCAAUUUUGACCCUUGCAGCCCUUUUGUUCUUAACAUAUCUGUAGAAUCCCUUAGAAUUCUCCUUCACCUUGUCUGCUGGAGCAACUUCAUGCCUUCUUUUAGCCCUCCUGAUUUCUUUCAUAAGUGUUCUGUUGCAUUUCUUGGACUCCAUAAGUACCUCAUGUGUUCCUACUUGCCUAUACCCACUAAACACCUUUUUCUCUCUUGAAAACCAAGGUUCCCUACACUUGCUACCUUUACCUUCUAUUCUGAGAGGCAUUUACAAGCUUUGUACUUUCAGAAUUUCAUUUUUAAAGGCUUCCCACUCUUCAAGUACAACUUUGCCAGAAAAUAGCCUGUCCCAAUUCACACUUGUCAGAUCAUUUCUGAUAUCAACAAAAUCGUCUUACUCCAAUUUAGGAUCUCAACUCACAGACCAGACCUAUCUCUUUGCAUAUAUUUAUUUUGAAACUAAUGGCAUUGUGGUCACUGGGUGCAGUGUUCUCCCACAAACUUCUGACACCUGCCCUGUCUCAUUCCCUAUUAGUAGCUCCAGUAUUGCAUACACUCUCAUUGGGACUCCUACGUACUGAUGAAGGAAACUUUCCUGAACACUUUUGACAAACUCUAUCCCAUCUAGUCCUUUUACAGUGUGGGAUUCCCAGUCAAUAUAUGGAAAGUUAAAAUCACCUUUCUUGUUCAUACUUUUCUUGGUCAUCCUUUUCUUGUUACUCAG
Molecule: long non-coding RNA, 1809 nt
Organism: Hypanus sabinus (Atlantic stingray)
Lineage: Eukaryota; Metazoa; Chordata; Chondrichthyes; Myliobatiformes; Dasyatidae
Exons: 4
Source: RefSeq, a predicted model, not a curated record